RNAcentral lists this ribosomal RNA (497 nucleotides) under uncultured bacterium. RNAcentral describes it as "partial 16S ribosomal RNA". It matches the Rfam family "Bacterial small subunit ribosomal RNA", at positions 28 to 507 of the family's 1533-position model. The record is from RNAcentral.
GAUGAACGCUGGCGGCGUGCCUAAUACAUGCAAGUCGAGCGAACGGACGAGAAGCUUGCUUCUCUGAUGUUAGCGGCGGACGGGUGAGUAACACGUGGAUAACCUACCUAUAAGACUGGGAUAACUUCGGGAAACCGUAGCUAAUACCGGAUAAUAUUUUGAACCGCAUGGUUCAAAAGUGAAAGACGGUCUUGCUGUCACUUAUAGAUGGAUCCGCGCUGCAUUAGCUAGUUGGUAAGGUAACGGCUUACCAAGGCAACGAUGCAUAGCCGACCUGAGAGGGUGAUCGGCCACACUGGAACGGAACCACGGUCCAGACUCCUACGGGAGGCAGCAGUAGGGAAUCUUCCGCAAUGGGCGAAAGCCUGACGGAGCAACGCCGCGUGAGUGAUGAAGGUCUUCGGAUCGUAAAACUCUGUUAUUAGGGAAGAACAUAUGUGUAAGUAACUGUGCACAUCUUGACGGUACCUAAUCAGAAAGCCACGGCUAACUACGUG